This 90-nucleotide transfer RNA is filed under the name Bacteroidetes bacterium QH_1_61_8. Its description in RNAcentral is "tRNA-Leu". It matches the Rfam family "tRNA". Rfam says of the family: Transfer RNA (tRNA) molecules are approximately 80 nucleotides in length. Lineage: Bacteria; Pseudomonadati; Bacteroidota. RNAcentral also lists the same sequence under 1 other name. The record is from RNAcentral.
GCGAACGUGGCGGAAUUUGGUAGACGCGCGAGACUUAGGAUCUCGUGGGGGUCCUCCCCCGUGGGGGUUCGAGUCCCCCCGUUCGCACCA